Molecule: ribosomal RNA, 318 nt
Filed under: uncultured Bacteroidota bacterium
Lineage: Bacteria; Pseudomonadati; Bacteroidota
Description: bacterial SSU rRNA
Rfam family: Bacterial small subunit ribosomal RNA
Source: RNAcentral
CCCCUAUCUUUAGUUGCCAACAGGUAAUGCUGGGAACUCUAAAGAAACUGCCGCCGUAAGGCGUGAGGAAGGAGGGGAUGAUGUCAAGUCAUCAUGGCCUUUAUGCCCAGGGCGACACACGUGCUACAAUGGUCAGGACAAAGGGCUGCUACCUAGCGAUAGGAUGCUAAUCCCAUAUACCUGAUCUCAGUUCAGAUUGCAGGCUGCAACUCGCCUGCAUGAAGCUGGAAUCGCUAGUAAUCGUAUAUCAGCAAUGAUACGGUGAUACGUUCCCGGACCUUGCACACACCGCCCGUCAAGCCAUGGGAGUCGGGUGUA